CCUACGGGAGGCAGCAGUGAGGAAUAUUGGUCAAUGGACGAGAGUCUGAACCAGCCAAGUAGCGUGAAGGAUGACUGCCCUAUGGGUUGUAAACUUCUUUUAUAAAGGAAUAAAACGAGGCACGUGUGCCUUUUUGCAUGUACUUUAUGAAUAAGGAUCGGCUAACUCCGUGCCAGCAGCCGCGGGAAUACGGAGGAUCCGAGCGUUAUCCGGAUUUACUGGGUUUAAAGGGAGCGUAGAUGGGUUGUUAAGUCAGUUGUGAAAGUUUGCGGCUCAACCGUAAAAUUGCAAUUGAUACUGGCAGUCGUGAGUACAGUUGAGGUAGGCGGAAUUCGUGGUGUAGCGGUGAAAUGCUUAGAUAUCACGAAGAACCCCGAUUGCGAAGGCAGCUUACUAAACUGUGACUGACAUUGAUGCUCGAAAGUGUGGGUAUCAAACAGGAUUAGAUACCCUUGUAGUC
This 460-nucleotide ribosomal RNA is filed under the name uncultured bacterium. RNAcentral describes it as "partial 16S ribosomal RNA". It matches the Rfam family "Bacterial small subunit ribosomal RNA", at positions 338 to 795 of the family's 1533-position model. The record is from RNAcentral.